UACGGGGGGAGCAAGCGUUGUUCGGAUUUACUGGGCGUAAAGGGCGCGUAGGCGGCCAGCACAAGUCAGUUGUGAAAUCUCCGAGCUUAACUCGGAAAGGUCAACUGAUACUGUGCGGCUAGAGUGCGGAAGGGGCAACUGGAAUUCUUGGUGUAGCGGUGAAAUGCGUAGAUAUCAAGAGGAACACCUGCGGCGAAGGCGGGUUGCUGGGCCGACACCGACGCUGAGGCGCGAAAGCCAGGGGAGCGAACGGG
Molecule: ribosomal RNA, 254 nt
Filed under: uncultured bacterium
Lineage: Bacteria
Description: partial 16S ribosomal RNA
Rfam family: Bacterial small subunit ribosomal RNA
Source: RNAcentral